Long non-coding RNA from Peromyscus leucopus (white-footed mouse), 4515 nucleotides. RefSeq lists it as uncharacterized. The transcript is spliced from 2 exons. The record is from RefSeq and is a predicted model, not a curated record. NCBI's taxonomy places the organism in Eukaryota, Metazoa, Chordata, Mammalia, Rodentia, Cricetidae.
AGGAGGGAAAAGUAGAACAGCAAAAUGGCCCAAAGAGUCAAAAUACCAUGUCCAUGAGAACAGAAGAGAGUAACGUGUUUGAGUCUAAACAGUGUGUCCUUGAUCACAGCUGGAGGGCCAAUCAUUCCCAUUCACCUUCCCAGAAUAAAGACGCCUGUGGUGGGGACAGCUCAUUGGCAGUGUCACCUAAGAGAAGACUUCCUUCCUGGAGCCCUUCUGUGGAUCAGAGGCUCCAACUGACUGUUUCUGUUCUCCAGGCUUCCGCAGUUGCUUUCUGCUGGAUGACAUCCUAACCCAAAAGCUUGUUUGAGGCUGGGCUCUUCCAGAAACAAUAUGAUCAUCCCAAGUGACAGUGUGUACAGAUGCUGGAGUCCUGGGAAACACUUGGAAUUCUAACAGGUGGUGAUGCUCAGGCUGAACCACGAACCCUGGGCCUUCUCCAUGGUAGGCCGCUGCUUUACCACUGAGCUACGCCCUCAGCUCUGCUCUAGCAGUCUAAACUUCCCUCACACCUCCUUCACUUUGGCUCAAGCUCAAUAACAGUCCUAGAAUAUGAACAAUGUUAUCAACAGUGUGUUUAUUCUCUUCUGUUUCUAAAUGGUCCACCUUAAAUGUAUACAACUAUCAGUCUUCUUUUCCACUACAACUCUGACUUUAUCUUGGUCUCUUCAUACUCUUCUAUUUGAAUACAUUAUUUGCACUAAAGUUGAGGUAUCCAUUCUAUGCCUACCCCUGCCUUUGGAGACAAGGGGUCUGACUAUAUAAACCAGGUUGGCCUUGAACUCAUAGAGGUCCGCCUGCCUCUGCAUCCUGAGUGCUGGCAUUAAAGGCGUGCGCUAUGCCCAGCUAUACUGACACUUUUAAUUACUACGAGGCCUUCAAUCUAUUCAUGAACCUGUACCCUUGUGUCUUCAGUCUUCUUCCAAGAGAGACUCAAAACUGCACUCGACUCUCACACACUUCUCCAUCACUCUGUUCCACUGAGGCCGACCUGUCAUUCUUAUUCAUCUCAUUCCCAUUUGUUUACACUGUACCAGGGAACCAAAUUCCAUUUGACCUAGCCAAAAGUACUAAAGAAGUAGCGUGCUUGCUUUAAACCUAUUACUGGGUAAUGCUGGUGGAAACUGUAAUUUUAAAUGUCAUUCCAUUGCUUUUUAAGUUUUAGGUCACUGAUGGCAUAGUUAUUUAACAUUUAUACUAAGUAACAGAGAAUCAGCAGUAGAGUUGGAUUUUAAAUGGAAGUGAGAAUGGGACAUGCGGAUCUGCAUGCUGGCUUUUAUUCAUAACUGAGAAGUGUCUGAGCAGUGACUACUGUAUUCACAAUGCUGGUAACAGCUCCUAGACAUCUGAAAACUGAACACAACUGGUAGACCGUGUUUAUAAAAAAAACCAAAAGACUUCUGGAUUCAGGCAUGAAAAAAAAUGGUCAAACUCAGGACAGGAUUUCAAACAGUUAAACAAGCUUUUACCAAAGAAGUGUAAAGACAACCUAAUCUCACCUAAGGACAGUCUGAAGCGUCUGGAAAAUUAAAACUUCUGCCACACUUCAGACCACCUACUGACCCACACGGUAGAAGAAAGUUCCAGCAAACUGUCCUAUCUAAAUAUGUCUUUUAAACUGAAAGGAUGACCUCUAAAAGAGCUUUGUUCAUAUUGCUGGAAAAGUCCUUUCAAGUGGAUCAGGAAACAGAUGAAGGAAAAUGACACCGGCCACUCCAGGUAUCCAGUUUUGAGCCAACUCCACCUCAUCAACCCACACUGUCAUUCUACUGAAGACUUAACAAACAUGAAAACGAGCCUCGGAGCCUGAUCUGAGAGUCCUGAAAUUCAAGGUCACAUUGCAUAGGACAUCAAUCCCAGGCUGGGCCAGGCUGAAACCUUUCCGAACUUGCUCAGGAGACUUUCUACUGAGAGAUGCUAAAGGCUACCGAAGCACAGUCUAAUGUCAUUUCUGUUCCUCUAGUCUGAACUAUGAGUUCCCUGUCAGCACAGCCCAUGCUUGUUUACAUAACUGUUUUCCAACUCGGUAGAACAGCAAGAGCGAAGAAACCUGUUAAAUAACAAGGGGACACUAAAUGUUAUCACCGCCACGCCUGACAUCAGGGCAGGUUAUUCUAAAUGGGCUUCACCUGGAACAGGGACCAUAAUUUUAACAAACAAGUUUAACAUGGGUCUAUAAACCUCUCGUGCUUUCCUGAUCUGAAGGACAGCACACAGAAUAGACGUGUGCUGGGCACAGUGUUAAAACCUGGGUUGUUACUGUGUGUGUGGUACUUCUGUGGAGUGGCUGAACACAUCAUUCUGGGCGAGCUACGCAACUGUGGCUGCUACGUGAUACCGUCACUUCUGAAACAAAACCUGUUUGUCAAUUCCUACAGAAAGAACAUUGGAUAGGUGACUCCCUGUUCUCUGACUUUGGUACUGUUUUCUACUUAAGUCAGGUAGAAAAACUUAACUUAAAACUUUCAAAAUUAGAGCAAUAACUUUUUUUGGCCUAUUGUUUUUGAAUAAAGAUUAUGAGACAACACACAAAGAAAGACAAACAUCAUAAAAUAACUUUUAUACAGGAUUAGUAGAUCUGUUUACAUAUAUAAAAAACAAAGGACCUCAUUACAGUUAGAUUUCACAUAAAUUACACAGAUUAACUUUUUAAAACUACUAUUCAAUUCUUUUAAAGUUCCUUUUAAAUUUUUCGUUUUGAAGGCACAGUGCAUGAAAUCCAACAAAGACCAAAGCACUUAGGAGGAAUGGGUGUCAGGCAUGCCACAGAAAUAGCUAAGGGUGGUUUGGGAGCUGGGGAGGAUCAUUCUGAAAGAAAGCAGAGAGGUGAAAAGAACAUAAAAAAUUCCAUGUCAUACCUCCAAAAAAUCUGCAGCACAGAAUGUAGCUAGUACAUUCAUGUUAUGCCACUUAUAAACAUCGUCAUUGUCUAUAUUUACAUAAUUUUUAUCCAACUGCCUCAAAAUGGUAACCUACUUUCAACUUUCAGAAUCAACCAGGGGAGUAUUCUCAGAGUCAGUGGAACCAUUAAUGAUUUUUUGCCAAAUAUAAAAAGAGAAGUGGGUGUUGGGAAGGUUUUCUUCAAGAACUAGAAAUCCAAACUCAAUUGACAUUAAUCAAAGGCCCUACUCACCCUCUCCCCCAAAACCUGCUAUAAUUAAAAUUAACCAGAAACCUAAAGUUAUCAACAAGUUGCUAUACAGAAAGAUCAUUGAAUAUUUAACUAUUAGUGGAAUUUUAGUAAUAAUAAAGAAAAAACUGGGGAAAAUGCCGGGCUGCUACCGUAAAACAAUCCCGCCAGAGACCCACAUCACAGGACAGCAUGACAGAUUCAUAGCCAAGAAGCUUCUAAGAGAGCAGGGAUAAAACCUGGCACAAGUGUGAGUGUGACAAGACAAUAAACAUAUUUAAUGCUGGGGAUAAGUAGAAAUCAAUGGAGUAGCGAGUCUUGGUUUCUGGUAACCUGGGGCUAGCUCAAAAACACAGCAAGUUCAGACAUAAGUACUACCUUUUUAUUUUUCCACUCAUAAUUAGUUUUAAAUUUAAUAUUCACUAAUUCAGCAAAUCUCAUUCAGAUGAAAUCACUAAUCUUUAAAGAUUAACCAAGCACACUGAGCCAAAAAUACAAUGUUUCCUUCCUUGAGGCUGACAGAGUCCCAAAGCCAGUUCCCUUCAGUGAGGACCAAAAGUCCUCUUUGCUGGAUCAGAUCCCAUCACCACCCAGAGUUCCACCAGAUACACUUGGCAAUCUUUGUCAGUACAAGUGCAUCCUCACAGGCAGACACUUUAAACAUCACCUACCAAUCAUGUAGCCUUUAUUAAGGAGCAGGGAGGGGAGGCUUAUAAACUCAUCACCAGGACAAAACAAAGCCUGUGAGCAAAGGAAAGGCACAUCUCAGACUGGGGCAAAGUUCCUAAUACUGUGACACUCGGGUCCGUGACUACAGAAAUGGCAAGUCUCCAGGAGAAACACUGAAGGAAUGCAUUCCCCAUCCCAUAUGGCUUCAGUGCCCUCUGCUGCCAAAGCGGUCCAACAUUCGAUUAGAUCCACAAACAAAAAAAGGCAGGGCUAAGAACACAGUCUUAGUAGGCAUGGAUCGUGUACAUUCAUGUUCAUAGGUAACAGAGGGUGGAGAGGGCUGGCUUUCCAGCUCAAUGCAUUAGACGUUCACCAAAGACUUGAAACUUAGAGCAGAAUUUGGGUUCAUUUCAGGAAAAAGUAUUCUGUAUAUUCACCUCUAAAAAUUCCACACAUACUUUAAAAGGCAUGGCCUCUGACCACUGAGAUGGACUGUUAAGAACACACUUAAUCCGAGAACAAGCGGCAAGGUGUUCUUUGGUGAACACCAACGCUAGUAAAGCAAAGGCUGUCAUGUCUUUGUAAUGUACUCUAGCUGUAAUGUCCCGAGCAGGGCCCAGCCACAAGCCCCUUGUUGGUUUUCUGACUUGGCACUUUGAAAAAUAAAGCUGAAAAAGAGCAAUACACAUCAUUUAGAAAAACACAAAGUGUUAUUA